RNAcentral lists this long non-coding RNA (1665 nucleotides) under Homo sapiens (human). Its description in RNAcentral is "HSALNT0003666". The record is from RNAcentral. Lineage: Eukaryota; Metazoa; Chordata; Mammalia; Primates; Hominidae.
AAGAAUGAAGAAGUAACCUUUAGAGCAGGAAUGGAUAAUUACAAGAUGUUUACAUCUUGUAAACAAAGACAAAGGACUUGUAUGAAGAAUAUGUAAAGGGCUGGGCGCCUUGGCUUAAGCCUGUAAUUCCAGCACUUUGGGAGGCCGAGGCAGGUGGAUGACCUCAGGUCAAGAGUUCGAGACCAGCCUGGCCAAACUGGUGAAACCUCGUCUAUACUAAAAAUACAAAAAUUAGCCGGGCAUGGUGGCGCAUGCCUGUAAGUAAUCCCAGCUACUUGGGAGGGUGAGGCAGGAGAAUCACUUGAACUCAGGAGGCGGAGAUUGCAGUGAGCCGAGAUUGCGCCACUGCAUUCUAGCCUGGGUGACAGAGCAAGACUCCAUCUCAAAAAAAAAAAACCAAAAAAAAAAACCAUGUAAAGAAAUCCUGUAAGUCAGUAAGAAAGUCAGACAACUGAAUACAAAUACGGACAAAAGACUUAAGUAGGCAUCUCAUAAAAGAGGCUGUCCAAACAGCCAAUAAACACGUGAAAAAGUGCUUAUAUUCAUUAGUCAGCGAGGAAAUGCAAAUUAAGACCACAAUAUGCUACUAUGACACAUGCACUAGAAUGGCUAAAAUGAAAAAAAAUAAAACAUACCAAGUGUUGGUAAAAAAGUAGAGCAACUAGAAAUCUCAUAUGACCGCUUUGGACAACUGUUUGGCAACAGCUACCCAAGCUGAACAUAUGCACGCCCAGAAAACCUGCUCCCAGGCAUCUACCCAACAGCAAUGUGCAUGAGAUAAUGUGCUCUGAAAGACAUGCACAAGGAUGUUCACAGCAAUAAUUCUCAUAAUAGACAAACUCCAGAACUACCCAAACACCCCAGUAGUAGAAUGGAUGUUUUUAAAAAGUAGUAUAUUCACACAGUGGAAUUCUAUAUAGCAAUGAGAAUCGAACCAUCGUCAACUACACACAAUAAUAUUAAUGAAUCUCAUAAACAUUGUCUGGCCGGGUGCAGUGGCUUACACCUAUAAUCCCAGAACUUUGGGAGGCCAAGGCGGGCAGAUCACUUGAGGUCAGGAGUUCAAGACCAGCCCGGCCAACAUGGUGAAACCCCAUCUCUACAAAAAUACAAAAAUUAGCUGGGCAUGGUGGUGUGCACCUGUAAUCCCAGCUACUCGGGAGGCUGAGGCAGGAGAAUUGCUUGAACCCAGGAGAUGGAGGUUGCAGUGAGCUGAAAUCACGCCAUUGCACUCCAGUCUGGGUGACAGAGCGAGACUCCAUCACAAAAAAACAAAACAAAACAAAUUGUGUAAAGUGAGGAAGCCAGACAUACAGUACAAAAUGUUCAAAAAUAGGCAAAAGUAAUCCAUGGUGUUAGAAAUUAGGAUUGUGUAACCCUUGGAGAGUGACAGUGAUUGGAAGGGGGCAUGAGGGGGCUCCUGGGAUGCCAGUCAUAUACUGUUUCUUGAUCUCAGUGCUGAUUACAUGUGUACAUUCAGUUUGUGAACAUUCAUCAGACAGAACACUUAAAAUUUCUAUACCUUUUUUUUUUGAGACGGAAUAUUGCUCUGUUGCCCAGGCUGGAGUGCAGUGGCAUGAUGUCGGCUCACUGCAACCUCCGCCUCCCAGGUUCAAGCAAUUCUCCUGCCUCAGCCUCCUGAGGAGUUGGGAUUACAGGUGUGUG